UACGUAGGAUGCAAGCGUUGUCCGGAAUUAUUGGGCGUAAAGAGCGCGCAGGCGGUAUGACAAGUCAGAUGUGAAAGAGGCCGGCUUAACCGGCAAGGGUCAUUUGAAACUGUCAGACUAGAGUGCAGCAGAGGAUAGUGGAAUUCCCGGUGUAGUGGUGAAAUGCGUAGAUAUCGGGAGGAACACCAGUGGCGAAGGCGACUAUCUGGGCUGCAACUGAUGCUGAGGCGCGAAGGCUAGGGUAGCAAACAGG
This 253-nucleotide ribosomal RNA is filed under the name uncultured bacterium. Its description in RNAcentral is "partial 16S ribosomal RNA". It matches the Rfam family "Bacterial small subunit ribosomal RNA", at positions 524 to 776 of the family's 1533-position model. The record is from RNAcentral.